Non-coding RNA from Schistosoma rodhaini, 45 nucleotides. The record is from Rfam. NCBI's taxonomy places the organism in Eukaryota, Metazoa, Platyhelminthes, Trematoda, Strigeidida, Schistosomatidae.
AUCCGGCUGACGAGUCCCAAAUAGGACGAAACAUGCGUCCUGGAU